Molecule: long non-coding RNA, 287 nt
Filed under: Gossypium raimondii (Peruvian cotton)
Lineage: Eukaryota; Viridiplantae; Streptophyta; Magnoliopsida; Malvales; Malvaceae
Description: long non-coding RNA (GRAI_LNC010354)
Source: RNAcentral
UGGGUUUUUCAUUUUUUAGUAUUUGGGGUUCCAAAUUUGUUAUGGUUUGUUUUAGUUUGGUUCUAAUUUGGUUGAGUAUUUGUGGCCUUGCUUCUAUUUCGUUCUCUUCAUUUUGGCUGCAGGUGACUUGUUCUUUUUUUUUUAAUUAUUAUUUUUAGUAUGGUAGCUACUUUGUAUUAAGUUUAGGGACAUUAGUUUUGCCUACACUAUAGGCUUGUGAGAUGGUAAAAUUUUGUACUAUGAAAUUGUCUAUUAUGGAAGAUACUUAUGAAUAUUAGUAGAGAAGC